UACGGGGGGGGCAAGCGUUGUUCGGAAUUACUGGGCGUAAAGGGCUCGUAGGCGGCCAACUAAGUCAGACGUGAAAUCCCUCGGCUUAACCGGGGAACUGCAUCUGAUACUGGAUGGCUUGAGAUUGGGAGAGGGAUGCGGAAUUCCAGGUGUAGCGGUGAAAUGCGUAGAUAUCUGGAGGAACACCGGUGGCGAAGGCGGCAUCCUGGACCGGUAUUGACGCUGAGGCGCGAAAGCGUGGGGAGCAAACAGG
RNAcentral lists this ribosomal RNA (253 nucleotides) under uncultured bacterium. RNAcentral's name for it is "partial 16S ribosomal RNA". It matches the Rfam family "Bacterial small subunit ribosomal RNA", at positions 524 to 776 of the family's 1533-position model. The record is from RNAcentral.